ACACUGAUCAUAUGGGCAUCUUGUUAAAAUGAAGAUUCUGAUUCAUUGGGUCUUUGGGUCUUCUGUGGAGCUCAAGACUUUGCAUUUCUAGCAAGCUCCCCAAUGAUUCUGAU
This 113-nucleotide microRNA precursor is filed under the name Marmota monax (woodchuck). Lineage: Eukaryota; Metazoa; Chordata; Mammalia; Rodentia; Sciuridae. The record is from RNAcentral.